Molecule: ribosomal RNA, 255 nt
Filed under: uncultured bacterium
Lineage: Bacteria
Description: partial 16S ribosomal RNA
Rfam family: Bacterial small subunit ribosomal RNA
Source: RNAcentral
UACGUAGGGUGCAAGCGUUUAAUCGGAAUUACUGGGCGUAAAGCGUGCGCAGGCGGUUCUAUAAGACAGAUGUGAAAUCCCCGGGCUCAACCUGGGAACUGCAUUUGUGACUGUAGAGCUGGAGUGCGGCAGAGGGGGAUGGAAUUCCGGCGUGUAGCAGUGAAAUGCGUAGAUAUGCGGAGGAACACCGAUGGCGAAGGCAAUCCCCUGGGCCUGCACUGACGCUCAUGCACGAAAGCGUGGGGAGCAAACAGG